AGGGCAAACGGUGGAUGCCUUGGCACAGGAAGCCGACGAAGGACGCGACAAGCUGCGAUAAGCCACGGUUAGGGGCACUUGCCCGCUCGACCCGUGGAUCUCCGAAUGGGAAAACCCGGCGGGAGUCAUUUCCCGUCACGCCCGGCUGAACACAUAGGCCGGGCCGAGGCAACCGGGGGAACUGAAACAUCUAAGUACCCCGAGGAAGAGAAAUCAAACGAGAUUCCGCGAGUAGCGGCGAGCGAAAGCGGAGACGAGCCCAAACCCGUGCACGCGGUAAAGCCUGGGGGCGUUGCUGCACGCGGUGUUGUGGGACCGCCAAUCCCGGGGGCGCCCAGGCCCCGGGGCCAGUUGCAAAGCGGCGGGCUAGCGGAAGACGCCUGGAAAGGCGCGCGGAACAGGGUAACGGCCCCGUACGCGAAAGCCCGGACCGCCUGGCCUGGCGGCACCCGAGUAGGGCCGGACACGUGAAAUCCGGUCCGAACCAGGGGGGACCACCCUCCAAGGCUGAAUACUCUCCCAUGACCGAUAGCGAACGAGUACCGUGAGGGAAAGGUGAAAAGCACCCCGCGAGGGGAGUGAAACAGUACCUGAAACCGUGUGCCUACAAGCAGUCGGAGCGUCCCUUCCGGGGGCGUGACGGCGUGCCUUUUGUAGAAUGAGCCAGCGAGUUACGGGACGCUGCGAGGUUAAGCUUGGAAGCGAGCCGCAGCGAAAGCGAGUCUUUAAGAUGGCGUGAAGUUGCGUUCCGUAGACGCGAAGCCGGGUGAGCUAUCCAUGGGCAGGCUGAAGCGGGAGUAAGAUCUCGUGGAGGGCCGAACCCACUUCGGUUGAAAACGGAGGGGAUGACCUGUGGAUAGGAGUGAAAGGCUAAUCAAACCCGGAGAUAUCUCGUUCUCCCCGAAAUAGCUUUAGGGCUAGCCCCGGCCGCUUACUGGCGGAGGUAGAGCACUGGAUGGACAAGGGGGCCUCACCGCUUACCGCGUCCAGCCAAACUCCGAAUGCCGCCAGUCGACGAGGCCGGGAGUCAGAACAUGUGGGCUAAGCUGUGUGUUCGAGAGGGAAACAGCCCAGACCGCCCGCUAAGGUCCCAAAGUCAGUGCUGAGUGGCAAAGGAUGUGCGUCUGCCCAGACAACUAGGAUGUUGGCUUAGAAGCAGCCACCCAUUCAAAGAGUGCGUAACAGCUCACUAGUCGAGUGGACAUGCGCCGACAAUUCACGGGGCUAAGCACCGCACCGAAGCGGCGGGCCGGCGCGCCAUGCGUGGCGCGGCGGCGGUAGGGGAGCGUUCCGUACGGCUCGAAGCAGGCAGGGCGACCUCCUGUGGACCGUCCGGAAGCGCGAAUGCUGGCAUGAGUAACGAGAGAGGCGUGGGAAACGCCUCCGCCGUAAGUCCAAGGUUUCCUGGGCGAGGCUAAUCCCCCCAGGGUCAGUCGGGAGCUAAGGCGAGGCCGACAGGCGUAGCCGAUGCACAACAGGUGGACAUUCCUGUACCGUCUGGGGGACGUUCGUACCGACGGGGCGACGGAGGAGGAUAGCCGGGCGGGGUUCUGGACGUCCCCGUGAAAGCGCGUAGCCCGCGGCGCAGGGAAAUCCGCGCCGCAGACAAGGGCGAGGCGUGACGACGAAGCGAGUGCGCGAAGCCGGCGAGUCCAUGCUCCAUAUAAAAGCCCCUAGGGAGGACCCCGGGCGCCCGUACCAAAACCGACACAGGUGGACGGGUAGAGAAUACCGAGGCGAUCGGGAGAACUAUGGUUAAGGAACUCGGCACACUGACUCCGUAACUUCGGGAGAAGGAGUGCCCCCUGGACGUGACGGGACUCAGCUCCCCGAGCGCGUGGGGGUCGCAGCGAAAAGGUCCAAGCGACUGUUUAUCAAAAACACAGGACUCUGCUAAGUCGCAAGACGACGUAUAGGGUCUGACGCCUGCCCGGUGCUGGAAGGUCACGCGGAGGGGUCAGCCGCAAGGCGAAGCCCCGAAGCCAAGCCCCAGUAAACGGCGGCCGUAACUAUAACGGUCCUAAGGUAGCGAAAUUCCUUGUCGGGUAAGUUCCGACCUGCACGAAUGGCGUAACGACUUGGACGCUGUCUCAACCAUAGACCCGGUGAAAUUGUACUAUUCGUGAAGAUGCGAAUUACCCACGGAAGGACGGAAAGACCCCGUGAACCUUUACUGCAGCUUGACAUUGCUCGCCGGUUCGUCGUGUAGAGGAUAGGUGGGAGGCAUCGAAGCCGGGGCGCCAGCCCCGGCGGAGCCGCCCUUGGAAUACCACCCUCGUCGGACUGGCGAUCUAACCCGCGGCCGUCAUCCGGCGCGGGGACCGUGUCAGGUGGGCAGUUUGACUGGGGCGGUCGCCUCCCAAAGAGUAACGGAGGCGCGCGCAAGGUCCGCUCGGCCUGGUCGGCAACCAGGCUUCAGAGUGCAAGAGCGCAAGCGGGCUUGACUGCGAGACUGACAAGUCGGGCAGGGACGAAAGUCGGCUCUAGUGAUCCGGCGGCCCAGAGUGGAAUGGCCGUCGCUCAACGGAUAAAAGGUACUCCGGGGAUAACAGGCUGAUCUUGCCCAAGAGUCCACAUCGACGGCAAGGUUUGGCACCUCGAUGUCGGCUCAUCGCAUCCUGGGGCUGGAGCAGGUCCCAAGGGUACGGCUGUUCGCCGUUUAAAGCGGUACGCGAGCUGGGUUCAGAACGUCGUGAGACAGUUCGGUCCCUAUCCUCCGUGGGCGCAGGAGAACUGAGGAGAUCUGUCCCUAGUACGAGAGGACCGGGAUGGACGGACCUCUGGUGCACCGGUUGUCGGCCAACGGCACCGCCGGUUAGCUACGUCCGGAUCGGAUAACCGCUGAAGGCAUCUAAGCGGGAAGCCGGCUCCGAGAUUAGUCCUCCUUUCGGUAAGGCCCCUCGUAGACCACGAGGUUGAUAGGCCGCAGCUGCAAGCGCCGCGAGGCGCUCAGGCGAGCGGUACUAAUCGGCCGAGCUCUUCUCGC
RNAcentral lists this ribosomal RNA (2986 nucleotides) under human gut metagenome. RNAcentral describes it as "bacterial LSU rRNA". It matches the Rfam family "Bacterial large subunit ribosomal RNA". The record is from RNAcentral.